This 1262-nucleotide ribosomal RNA is filed under the name uncultured bacterium. RNAcentral describes it as "bacterial SSU rRNA". It matches the Rfam family "Bacterial small subunit ribosomal RNA", at positions 56 to 1333 of the family's 1533-position model. The record is from RNAcentral.
UGCAGUCGACGGUGAAGCCCAGCUUGCUGGGUGGAUCAGUGGCGAACGGGUGAGUAACACGUGAGCAACCUGCCCUCCACUUCGGGAUAAGCCUUGGAAACGGGGUCUAAUACCGGAUAUGAGCUCGCAUCGCAUGGUGUGGGUUGGAAAGUUUUUCGGUGGGGGAUGGGCUCGCGGCCUAUCAGCUUGUUGGUGGGGUGAUGGCCUACCAAGGCGUCGACGGGUAGCCGGCCUGAGAGGGCGACCGGCCACACUGGGACUGAGACACGGCCCAGACUCCUACGGGAGGCAGCAGUGGGGAAUAUUGCACAAUGGGCGCAAGCCUGAUGCAGCGACGCCGCGUGAGGGAUGACGGCCUUCGGGUUGUAAACCUCUUUCAGCAGGGAAGAAGCGCAAGUGACGGUACCUGCAGAAGAAGCGCCGGCUAACUACGUGCCAGCAGCCGCGGUAAUACGUAGGGCGCAAGCGUUGUCCGGAAUUAUUGGGCGUAAAGAGCUCGUAGGCGGUCUGUCGCGUCUGGUGUGAAAUCCCGAGGCUCAACCUCGGGCUUGCAUCGGGUACGGGCAGACUAGAGUGCGGUAGGGGAGACUGGAAUUCCUGGUGUAGCGGUGGAAUGCGCAGAUAUCAGGAGGAACACCGAUGGCGAAGGCAGGUCUCUGGGCCGCAACUGACGCUGAGGAGCGAAAGCAUGGGGAGCGAACAGGAUUAGAUACCCUGGUAGUCCAUGCCGUAAACGUUGGGCACUAGGUGUGGGGCUCAUUCCACGAGUUCCGUGCCGCAGCUAACGCAUUAAGUGCCCCGCCUGGGGAGUACGGCCGCAAGGCUAAAACUCAAAGGAAUUGACGGGGGCCCGCACAAGCGGCGGAGCAUGCGGAUUAAUUCGAUGCAACGCGAAGAACCUUACCAAGGCUUGACAUGUACGAGAAAGCCCCCGAGACGGGGUUCUCUUUGGACACUCGUACACAGGUGGUGCAUGGUUGUCGUCAGCUCGUGUCGUGAGAUGUUGGGUUAAGUCCCGCAACGAGCGCAACCCUCGUCCUAUGUUGCCAGCGGGUUAUGCCGGGGACUCAUGGGAGACUGCCGGGGUCAACUCGGAGGAAGGUGGGGAUGACGUCAAAUCAUCAUGCCCCUUAUGUCUUGGGCUUCACGCAUGCUACAAUGGCCGGUACAGAGGGCUGCGAUACCGUAAGGUGGAGCGAAUCCCAAAAAGCCGGUCUCAGUUCGGAUUGGGGUCUGCAACUCGACCCCAUGAAGUCGGAGUC